AGUGAACGCUGGCGGUAGGCCUAACACAUGCAAGUCGAACGGCAGCACCGUAAGAGCUUGCUCUUACGGGUGUCGAGUGGCGGACGGGUGAGUUAUACAUCGGAAUCUACUUUUUCGUGGGGGAUAACGUAGGGAAACUUACGCUAAUACCGCAUACAACCUACUUGUGAAAGCAGGGGAUCUUCUGACCUUGCGCGAUUGAAUGAGCCGAUGUCGGCUUAGCUCGUUGGCGGGGUAAAGGCACACCCAGGCGACGAUCCGUAGCUGGUCUGAGAGGAAGAACAGAUACACUGGAACUGAGAAAGGGUAGAGACACCUACAGGAGGACGCAGUGGAGAAUAUUAGGCGAUGGGCGCGAGCGUGAUACAGCCAAACCGCGUAGGUGAAGAAGGAGUUCGGGUUGUAAAGCCAUUUUGUUGGGAAAGAAAAGAAGCAGGUUAAUACCCCGCUGUAAUGACGGUACCGAAAGAAUAAGCACCGGCUAACUUCGUG
RNAcentral lists this ribosomal RNA (492 nucleotides) under uncultured bacterium. RNAcentral describes it as "partial 16S ribosomal RNA". It matches the Rfam family "Bacterial small subunit ribosomal RNA", at positions 29 to 507 of the family's 1533-position model. The record is from RNAcentral.